UGCCAGGAAAUAGAAUAAAUUCCGGGAACGCACGCACGACACGAAAAGGUCGACGUUGAACACAGUACUGUGACGAUUGUGGUAGUAAUAAUUUCUCUAGUCUCUAUUUUGCUUCGGAGUGAUUUUAUAGCUGUUGUUGGUGUUGUUUUUUUCUACAAGACAGUUUGCCUGCUCUAGCCGCAGAUGUUUACGGCUCUAGAUCCCCUCGGUGCGAGGCCAUCUGGCGGAAUAUUUAAUUUGAGCGUUAUCAAUUUCCAUUGACGGAAUUACGGUGGAUGCAACUUUUAUGGUAAUAGCGACCAGAUCGCGUAUUUUGAUAUCAGAAUCCAUACAGCAGGUUUCUGGAAACUUUGGUGUAUGACAUUUGAUAUCAAGAUUGGCGAUAUCACAUGAUAUCCGCUGUAGCAUGAACCGGUUAUUAGGCACCGAUAACAAUCCCUCAAAUGGAAACAUGACACGGUCACGCACAUUAUGUUAAGCUACCUGUUUAACAGAUAUUAGUAUAACAAUUCAAACAAAAUUUUUAACAUUUUGAAAUUAGACAGCCUCUCUCCUCUUUUUACACUGAAUGGUCUGAAUGGUUUGGUAUUAAACACCGUGGUUUCGCUACAAUGUUCUAAUUGGAAUAAAUAUGGCAUAGUAGAUUUUUGAAUAUAGGUAUGAAUAUAAAAAACACCAUACUUUUAAUAAGCAAUCAACAAUAAAAUCUAUUAUCAAUGAAA
This is a long non-coding RNA of Wyeomyia smithii (pitcher-plant mosquito), 722 nucleotides long. RefSeq lists it as uncharacterized. Lineage: Eukaryota; Metazoa; Arthropoda; Insecta; Diptera; Culicidae. The record is from RefSeq and is a predicted model, not a curated record. The transcript has 2 exons.